Papaver somniferum (opium poppy) is the source of this 3529-nucleotide long non-coding RNA. RefSeq lists it as uncharacterized. Lineage: Eukaryota; Viridiplantae; Streptophyta; Magnoliopsida; Ranunculales; Papaveraceae. The transcript has 3 exons. The record is from RefSeq and is a predicted model, not a curated record.
GAGGAGGAAAUGAGGGUGGCGAUGAUGAGGGUGAAAAAGAUGAGGAAGACGGAGACAAGGAUGGAGAUAUGGAUGAUGAUGAAUCAGAGGAGGACUCAGAUGAAGAGGAAGAAGAAGAGGAACAAGCAGACGUAGUGGUAAAAAGACCUAGAAAGACGCCUAAAAAGCCUUGUGCUAGAUAUUCAUACAUUCCUCAUAAGGAUUUGUGUUUUCCUCCAAAGAAUCCAACAUAUGGUACUCCAAGAGAUGGCGGGCAGAUAUUAAUGGGCUACAAAAACUCAUGGGCUGCCAAGAUCUUUGCGACAAAGGCUUACAAAUCCGACCAUUGAUUUCGUCAUUCUGCGGCUCGGAUCGAUCGGUAAUAAGUUCUAUAUAGACGUCCGUCCGAUCCCGUUUUUAACAUAUGAUUUUGGAUGGUGUGGAUUAUGCCGCGGCCCAAGCUAACUUGACCGCUAAUUUAUAUAGAUCUCCAUCCGUCCGUCCGUUUUAAUAAAUAUAGUUUUGAACGGCAUAGAUUAUGCAACGACUCGACCAAGAUUACCCUAACCUGACCACUUACCUAAACACGACUAAACUUUACGCAGAGUCUACCUUUCCUCCUGUAACUGGAUUUCCUAAUCUUCCCAAUUCCUAAGAUGGUUGUUGCACGAGGCAUAAAAACAACUUGAAGCACAAGUUUGUUUUUCAUAUAACAGUAAUAACAGAGAGUCCGUGGGAAGUUGUACACACAAGAAUUUGCUUCCCCUAUACGUUUGUUUUUCUCCAGCUAAUGAAAAUCCUAGAUUUUCUAAUAAAGAAUAGCUGUUGUUCAGCCUAUUUAAAAAAAAUAAAAUUCGAAAAAGGUGAUAAAAUUGAACAAUGUUGUUCAGCCUAAAAUCAGUCUAUUUAUUAUGAUAAGAAAAGUGAAGAAGAACUACAGGAUGAGGAGCAAAAGAAGAAGCGACACUUGGAUACAGGGUCCGGUUGACAAAUAUUUCAUCAAGGAAGGUACAUGUUCUAAAGUUUUCGAGAAAAAAAUAGAUUCUUGCGCCAACUUAAUUUGUCUGGUAAUGCACUGGCAUAUUUUCCGUGUGGGAUUUCUUUUCUUGAUUUUCUUGCCCUUUUUCGGAGAUUAUUAUAUGAAUAUAUACGUUACAUAUCCUUAAUUUACCAAACUGAUUAUUGUUAAACCAGGUAGUCACGAGAAAAUAAAGGUCAAUAAGAUUUUGAAAUUCGAGUUUCCAAAAAAUAAAUAAAUAUAUUAUCUUAAUAAAAUCAAAUAUUAAUCUGAAGACUCUAUGUAUUUUAUCUAAUCACCGUCAAUUUUAAUGCAGAUAUUAUAUUUUCCUUUAAAUUUUCUAAUUCACGGAGGCCCCAGCCCCAUCCGGCUACUAUGAGCCGUUUAAUUAAACAUGUUAUUGUGAUCCGACUAACUAACACGCUAUAAUAUGACACGAGCAACUAAAUAUCGGGACCAUUCUGAUAUGAUCGGAUUAGCUAAAUAUGCUCCCAAUUAUUAUAGACAGACUAAAAUAUGAAAAGAUACUGACCGGCCGACCAAACAAUAAAUAAAUUUCUAAAAAGGUUGAGCCCCGGCCGUAGGCCGGGGUGAUACCUAGUAUUAGUAUAUAAGAUAUGAUGUUGUUUUUUUAGGAUCAUAAAAAUGAUGUUCGUGUUUUGAAACGUCAAAAGAACAAGGUAUGGAAUAUAGAAAAUGAGCGUGAUGAGGUCCGCUUCGCGGUAUUUGAUUGUGUACUCUGGAACGGGAUACGACAUGCGCACUAAAAAUUUGAUGUUGUCACUGUUACUGCAUUUGCCGAGAGGGCUUAUCCGGAAACGGAUACCUUUCAUCUACCUUUUGGUGAGAUGGCAAUAACUCCGGAUGAUUGUUUUAGAAUCACAGCCCUACCAAUUAUGGGAACAAGUGUUCGAGAUGACUACGAUCCCUCGAUGUGUUAUGAACUUCUUGAAAACUAGUCGAAAUGUGUCUAGGAUGGAGCGAUAAAAAGGAACAAUGUGAGUUUGGGCGAGCUAACAAAGAGCCUAAGGAAGGUCAUGAGUAUAAUGAAUUUGAGGAAGACCGCAUUUACAAGAAGAAGUUGAAAAAGAUCAAGCUCAAAACCUUGUUUGAUGAGUUUUCAGGGACGAAAGAUUUGGUUGCUCAAGGAAAAUUGGUGAUGACAGAGGAGAAGACUAAGCACCAUGUGACUGCUUAUUUGUUAUAUCAACUUGGAACCAUCUUCUUCCCUGACACUUCAGGCCACGUGGUAAAUGCUCAUUACCUCGAGCUAUUGGACCCCUUGAAUGAGGUGAACAAGUACUCUUGGGGCAUUGCGGGUCUUUCAUUCGUUCAAGCGGAACUCAGAAAAGCUUCGAGGCGUAAGAGUCUAUAUUUUGGAGGCUUAUACACCCUUGUUCAGGUUUGGGUGUACAACCACUUCCCUAAACUGCGAUUGUCUCAUGCUCACACUCCUUGGCCUUAUGGGAAGCCUACAGCUGGUAAAUAUGAAUUUUAGAACUCACAGGAAAAGAAUAAGGAAAAAAAUGUGUUGGAGUUGAGGGAGACAUUGGAUAAGUUAACAGUGGAAGAUGUGGUUUUCCAUCCUUACAACAUUGCAUCAGAUGAAGAUGAGGAGGAUGUAGUUAUUAAUUUCUCACCUGUUACGGGUUAUAAUGGACCGUUGUUUCAUCCCGGGGGUUGUACAAUGUAUAAUCCUCGAAGAGUACUUAGACAACUUUCUUGUGUCCAAAGUGUCCCACAAGUGGAAAACUUCAACUUCAAGGUAAAGAAGGUCGGAACGAAGAACAUCGAGAAGAAUUCCAUCCCCAAAUACGAUCCUGCUCCAUCAGUGGACCACUGGAAGAACUUUGGGAAUUAUCUUGUUCCAGUCGAAGAGUUACAAGAUUCGUUUGAUGAGCAAAAUGCCGCUGAUGAUGGAUAUAUGGAAUGGUAUGAACAUUUUUCUCAUCCUCGUGUAAUAAACAGUGUCCAACAAGCCCGUGUUGAUAAAGCAAAAGCGACGACAAUGGAGAAAGAGGCUCAGAAGAUUACGAAGCCUACCCCUAUGUGUGGUGAUAAGUCCUUGAUCUUGUGGAAUUCGGAGAUAAGAUAUUUACUCUAGUUUUUGUUUUUCAAAAUGUUAUAAAGUAUUGAAAAAUAAUAGUGACUUAUGUUUUUGAUGAGAAAAGGUGAAGGCAAGUGCUAAAUUGUUGAAGAAAUUGAUAGCAAAAAUCCGGAGUGGAGAGCCGAUGGACACUCGAGAACAAACAGACCUCUACAACCAAAUAACUAAUGUUUUUAAUCCCGACCUUGUCGAUACAAGUCAGGUUGAUCCAAGCCAGACCAUGCCGUUGAAAAGGAGUCGCCAACAAGGGGAAGGUUCAAGUCGGAUGGUUCAACAACAAAGCAGUGGAGAUGGCACUCCUAGUGACGAAGGACAACCUAAAGCUCCUAAACGCAAGAAUAGAAAAGUUUCUCGUAGUGGUCGUGGUAAAUGAGUGAUUGCAACAAUUAGUACUUUGGUUUCUUAUGUUUAGAAAACUUAUUGUG